CCUACGGGUGGCAGCAGUGAGGAAUAUUGGUCAAUGGGCGGAAGCCUGAACCAGCCAAGUCGCGUGAGGGAAUAAGGCCCUACGGGUCGUAAACCUCUUUUGCCGGGGAGCAAGGGCGGGGACGUGGCCCGGCCCGGAGAGGACCCGGAGAAAAAGCAUCGGCGAACUCCGUGCCAGCAGCCGCGGUAAUACGGAGGAUGCGAGCGUUAUCCGGAUUGAUGGGGUUGAAAGGGUGCGUAGGCGGCCCUGCAAGUCAGAAGGGAACUCCCUGGGCUUUACCCGUGAACUGCUUUUGAAACGGUCGGGCUUGAGUGAAGUAGCGGCAGGCGGACUUCCCGGUGUAGCGG
This 347-nucleotide ribosomal RNA is filed under the name uncultured bacterium. RNAcentral's name for it is "partial 16S ribosomal RNA". It matches the Rfam family "Bacterial small subunit ribosomal RNA", at positions 338 to 681 of the family's 1533-position model. The record is from RNAcentral.